AAGUUGGCUGUCACGAGAACUCCACACUGGAAACCAACAGACAUUUGUCUAAAAAUAAAGGUAAGUAAACUUAAUUGAUUACCAAUGACUCCGGGACAACAUCCCCGUGACGCAGCGCAUCGACUCACGCAUGCGCAGAGGCUCUGCCACGGCAGUAUUGUAGAGGAGGAGCAGCCGCCACCGGGAGACGAGAGCUGUCGUGUUGUUGAUUUCACACAAGAUAAACUUUUCCCCACAAUGUCGGGAUUUGACAGCAACCCCUUCGCGGAUCCCGUGGACGUGAAUCCCUUCCACGAUGCCUCCAUCACAGAAGCCACCAGCGGAGCCACUGAAGGCGUUGAUGAGUUCAACCCCUUUUCUGCAACUGACAUGGGAACCGUCUCUGGUGCAACCAUCCCCAUCACGGCUGCCUCCUCUCAACCUGCUGUCCUUCCAACCUCUGUGGAGCAGACUGCACAAGCAAAUGCAGCUUCUGGCCAGGCUAAGCUGAUCAAACAGCAGGAGGAGCUGGAGAGGAGAGCUGCUGAGCUGGAUCGUAAAGAGCAGGAGCUACAGAACAGGAGCGAAGGCAGAACAAACACUGGAGAGAAAGAGAACAACUGGCCCCCUCUCCCCAGAUUCUCCCCAGUGAAGCCGUGCUUCUAUCAGGACUUUGAGGAGGAAAUCCCAGAGGAGUACCGCAGGAUAUGCAAGAGAAUGUACUACCUCUGGAUGUUCCACAGUGCCACUCUCUUCCUAAAUGUGCUGGCCUGCUUGGCGUACUUCACAGCAAAUGCUCAGUAUGGUGUUGACUUUGGUCUCUCCAUCCUCUGGUUCAUCCUCUUCACCCCCGUGUCCUUCAUCUGCUGGUACAGGCCCGUCUACAAGGCCUUCAGGUCGGACAGCUCCUUCAGCUUCUUCUUCUUCUUCUUUGUCUUUUUCUUCCAAGUGACCGUGUACAUCAUUCAGUCUGUAGGGAUCCCCAGGUGGGGAAACAGAUUCCUGCUGCCCUAACUUGUGUGGGUUGCUGCUUUGUAAGUCUGGGACUUUUCUCUUUGGGUCUCUCCUCUGGAUCAUUUCAGUGGAUGGAUCUCAGCCAUUAGUAUGAUCGGCACAAACCUGGCUGUUGCUGUGGUCAUGCUGGUUGUGGCCGGUUUCUUCACUGUGAAUGCCAUCCUGGCUGUCAUCCUACUGAAGAUGGUCCACUCAAAGUACAGAAGGACAGGUGCCAGCUUCACUAAGGCCCAACAGGAGUUCUCCAGCGGAGUCCUGACCAACAGGAGCGUUCAGACUGCUGCAGCCAGCGCCGUCAGCUCUGCUGCUCAUGGAAACUUCGGCAGGAACUAGGGAGUUUAGACUGUUUCCUCACUUCCUCAGUGCCUCAGGCUAGUUUCUGCUUAAACAUCAUACAAGACUAGCCAUAAACAAACAUUCUUCUGUGAGUUAAGAGGAUUUUGGGGUGUAUGGGGUUAUUUACUGAACAGAGCAAGAAAACAAGUCAGUUAUCAAGGUCAACCAAGUGAGUUAUUUCACUUUUUAAUGUUAAACUUCUGCAGACACUGUGGUGCAGAAGAUAAGCUAGAGCUCUAAUGCUUGAAUGUAUGACUCACAGGUCUCGUUUUUUAUCAAAAACUUGGUCACCCUCGUUAGACCACAGCUAAUAAAAAUGAUGCUGUGAUGGAAAGCAAAGGAAAUCACAAACAAGGUGAAUGAUGAGACAGAGGGUAUGAAAAACAAAGAAUUACAAACAUAAUACAACAAAACUCCCUGACUGAAUUAUAUUAAGAACCUAAAGAGGUACAUUUGACAUUACACCUCCUUUUAUCCGUUUGCAAAGGCAAACAGGGGGUCUGAAAAGACUUAAGUUUAGUCUGAAGUCCAUUUAUUUUAAUCAUUAAAGACUCUAAAAAGUCUUAUAAUUUUCGAUCUUGUUCAUUUGGGCCUUAAAAAAACUACAGGAUCGUCGGGAUGCUAUUAAGAAAAUAACUGGCAUGAGCCCGGGGUAACCUGCCAGUCAAUCUUCUGCCUGAACCACUUUAAAUACUGUACGAUUCCUGCAAGUUUUACUGGAGUUACAUAUUUUCAGGCAAUCACUACAAGUCCUGUGAAAGAGAUGCAUCCUGUUACACUUCUUUUGAACACAGUUGCUGUCUUGAUUUUGCUCGUGUUUGUAUAAUACUGUACAGGAGGAGCUGAUGACUAAUGAAUGAAGGUGUUGGGAUGAAGGUUAUUUUAUUUCUGUUUUAAUCAGCGUACUGGUUUAGAUGACGUGCAGUAAGAGGCUCUUCUGAGGGCAAAUGAAGAAAACUGGGAUGGCACAUUUUAUUUCAUGCUGAGUUGUGCAGAACAUUAUGUUUUCUAUGAAGUCAGAUGUGAUCAAAAUGUACGAUGGUGCAGAUUUUCUGACAUAGUUACUGAGAUAGUAUAUGAUUUAUACUUAUACUUUAUUUACUUAGGGAAACAAUGAGCAGAAAGAACACUUUUUUUAUCUGUUGAUUUUCCAAGUGGUACUGGAUAGUCACAGAUAGUCUGUAUUUUCUAGCUGCACCUACAUGUUGGUAGGUAUUAGAAUGUUUAUGCUUGUGAAUGUAGAGAUAUGCUGCCCUUUUCUAACUUCUCCUUACCCUAUCAUUGAAUCACUUUCUUAGGGUGUGACCUCAGUGCCUUUAAGCAAGUGUAACCCACCUAUUUUUGUGGGGAUGUGCGCAUAUGGCUGUUGGCUGUUAGUGUUUUGUCUUGUUUUCUUUGUCUUUAUAGAAAAUAUUUUAUGGUGUAGUUUCCCUUUCAUGAUCAAAAUGUGUAUUAAGGUGUGUUGUACAUAAUGUUGACUUAUUUAAAACAUGUUGGAGGGGUAUUUUCAGGAACUGGUUCUCAGUCUUAACACUGAAUAAACUGUUUUCUCUUUUGCAAUGCAGGUCAGGUUGAGAAUGUAAUCAUGUUAAAGCCUACCAAGUAAAUCUGAUUGUACUUUACUUGCCUAAUAUAAAUCAACGUUAUUUUUGCACCUGCAUGUAAAACACACAUACUCCAUGCAUUUGUUGAAGGCCUCUUUGCUCGGCAGAGAUAAAAAAAUCCAUUGUUGGUAUUAAA
Notolabrus celidotus (New Zealand spotty) is the source of this 3069-nucleotide RNA transcript. It is a transcript of the gene named secretory carrier membrane protein 2, like, with no coding region annotated. Lineage: Eukaryota; Metazoa; Chordata; Actinopteri; Labriformes; Labridae. The transcript has 10 exons. The record is from RefSeq and is a predicted model, not a curated record.